This 64-nucleotide transfer RNA is filed under the name Osedax rubiplumus. RNAcentral's name for it is "tRNA-Thr". Lineage: Eukaryota; Metazoa; Annelida; Polychaeta; Sabellida; Siboglinidae. The record is from RNAcentral.
GUUACUAAAGCCAAAAAUAGAGGCAGUGAUUUUGUAAAUCACCUACUGAAUUAUUCUAGCAACU